CCAAUAGUAAAAACCGUGUAUAAGAGGAUGCUUGGUGUUCCAAGAAUGACCUACCUCUUCAAGAAACCAUCACUAUCCGGUUUCCUCUCUCUGUUCUGAUGAAGAUGGUGGUGCCAGGAAGAGGAUUGCGACUAUAUUACGAGUAUCAUCUCUUUCACAAAACCUCACCAGAACCCUAUUUUUCUUUCUCAUCGAGGUUUAUACUCUGAUAAAGUAUUCACCAUUUGAUUUACUUCAUUGUUAUGUUCUUCUGAAUGAUUCAAAUUUAAGAUACGUGUUAAUUUUUGUUUUGUUUAGUGUAACCUAAUUUGAACGAUUUGUAGAUGUCUCGUAUAAAUGUCGCUUGAAGUUUUUGUUGAUAUUACAAUCGCCCCAUGACUCUAUUUUUGUGUUCUGCAAUCGCUGCAUCUUUUUGUUAGAUGAUUCUGAGAAGAUUUUGUUGAUAUUGGUACGGGUCAUUUCAUUGAGGGCGGUGGUGGUGCUAUCAGAUGGUCAUGCCAACUCUUAAGGGUGGUCAUUAUUCAACCGAUCCAUCAACAAUUAUUAUUAUGGAUGCUCUGUUUCCAUAUAGCCACUAUAGGGUGAUAUACCGUUUGGUACGAUCAGGGAAGGACGGAAUGCAGCCUUGAUGACAUUUUAGUUGCUUGAAAAGCUAAAAAAGGAAUUACGUUUUCUUUCUUUGUUAAGAGGAGUACAUCAUUAAAUUGAAGGUAUGAAAUCUGGAUUUCAGAUUUUUUGCAGCUCUAUUAAUAGUGUGCAGACUAAAUUUCUAUUGUAAAGGGGGUAAAUUGUCCAGAAAUUUAAGACGCCUUAGCAACUAGAACCGUUCAUUUGCAUAUUCAGAGAAGAGAGAGAAGCAGAGAAGAUAAAGAGAGCAACGGGGGUUAGAGAGUGAACAAGCGAUUGGAGAGAGAACGGGAAAGAGACAGAGAGAGAGAGAGAGACAAUGGAGAAGGGGAGACCAGGCACGGCCUCCGGCCAUCCACCUUAAAAGUAGUAUAUAAUAAUUUUUAUAUACUUUCAGACUCCAAGUCGUAAAUUCCUCAUUCGUGUUUUAUAUUUGGAAAUUUAUAACGGGCCAUGGGAUACUUAUGAAUCGAACUUGUCAAGCAAUCUCAAUAAGCACCAUGUACCAAAGAACUUCGUGGAGAAGCUUGCUUUCAGGACAGUGAAGCUACUGAGAAUUCCAACUGAUUUAUUUUUCAAGUAUGACAGAGCAUUCAAUUCAGAUGGAUAAAUUUACCUCGAUUCGGUAGAUUGCAAGAUAGGCGCCAUAGUCGGCGGUGGCAACGACAUCUUGUGGAAUAGAAGUUGGGGCUUGUGGCUGAGCAUAAGUGCUUCCAUAAGCAUUGUAUGUGCCAUAAGCAACCUAAAAAGUAUAUCAAAAGGCUAUUCCUUCCAUGCUUUUGGCGUUAGUUCUCUGCUUUGACCACAGAAAAGUCAAAGAGGCUACAAACCCGCUGGAUAUAUCUCCACAAAAAGGGUAUAAAUACAUAUGGUAUGAUACGUGUGGAUAUGCUGUUGGAUUGGUAGCUGCAUUAGCAGCUGGAAUUCUUACUCAUUCUCCGCAGCCAUCACUUCUAUAUCUGGUGCCAUUGACACUUGGACCGAUAGUUGUGAUCUCCUGGGCACGAAAGGAGUUAUGGGAAGGAUCGACACCGAAUCUUACAGAGAAAACACAUUUGACAGAAGUUUAAGCCAUGGAACAUGUAAAUGGACUUUGGAUAAGUUAAGAAU
This 1737-nucleotide long non-coding RNA is filed under the name Helianthus annuus (common sunflower). Lineage: Eukaryota; Viridiplantae; Streptophyta; Magnoliopsida; Asterales; Asteraceae. The record is from RNAcentral.